GACAUAGGUGGCGAACGUUAUCCGGAAUUAUUGGGCGUAAAGGAUGCGUAGAUGGUGUGAUAAGUUAUCAGUGGGAAAUCGGGGCUCAACCUCGUGGAAGUUGGUAAUACUGUCAUGCUUGAGUGCAGGAGAGGUUAACGGAACUCUAUGUGGAGCGGUAAAAUGUGACGAUAUAUGGAAGAACACCAAUAAGGCGAAAGCAGUUAACUAUUCUGUUACUGACAUUGAGGCAUGAAAGCGUGGGGAGCAAAACGG
RNAcentral lists this ribosomal RNA (255 nucleotides) under uncultured bacterium. Its description in RNAcentral is "partial 16S ribosomal RNA". It matches the Rfam family "Bacterial small subunit ribosomal RNA", at positions 524 to 776 of the family's 1533-position model. The record is from RNAcentral.